This is a long non-coding RNA of Oreochromis niloticus (Nile tilapia), 1096 nucleotides long. RefSeq lists it as uncharacterized. The transcript has 3 exons. The record is from RefSeq and is a predicted model, not a curated record. NCBI's taxonomy places the organism in Eukaryota, Metazoa, Chordata, Actinopteri, Cichliformes, Cichlidae.
GGAUGGGCUACUCGCCUUUCUUUUCUCUCUCUCGCUCGCUCGCUCUACUGCUCUCGCUCUCUCCUGCGCUCGCUCUUACUGCAAAACUAGGUCAAUUGGGAACCCACCUGCAUAUUGAUUGCAGGCUGGCACCAGGUAUAAAGCUAAGCCGGUGCUUCUUUGGAUUAUUCCUCCCAUGCAUUCAGCGCAAAGCAGCAGUAAAUGCUGACACUCUGCGACGGACUGAUCGGCAAGAGUAGAUCAUAUGACAGCCACAGCGCGGCAGGUUGUUUUAUUCCGGCGUUGCGGAGAGGUGCUUGUGUGAUUUCCCCCACCAGUGAGAGUAUAGCGCCUCCGGUCCUGGGGGUGUGAUCGCUGCCUUCACCUCCGUGGCAACUCACACAGCCUUAAGUGAAGAAUCAAGACACCUGCCUAGCCGUUGUUGUGAGGGCUCCUCCUCAGUGGAGCCUGUUGUCUUGUCUUGUCUUGUUUGGUUUUGAAUUGUUUUACCUUGUCUUAUUUGGUUUUAUUAAGUAGGCCUACCAUUUCCUGGUUCGCCUGGUUUUAUUUUAUUUUAUCUCUGGAUUGUUGCGUGUGCCCACGCUUCUGUGAUCGGGCUGAAGCAAUUCUUUGCCCGAGUGUCGUGCCGGGGAUUUUAAAUUGCCCCCGUUGCUGGUCUUAGCCUGUGGGGAGCCAGACCAGCUCGCGAUUGAGGCUGGGACCAUUACUACCAGUACGGGUGGACCCGCGGGGCACAAGCCUUCCCGUGUGUGUGUGUGUGUGUGUGUGUGUGUGUGGUUUCUUUUAUUAAAGCUAUUAAAGUGUGUUUUAGUUCUUUGUAUCAUCUGUAGCGAGCCUGACGCUCAGUGUCCUGUUAUUCUUUUAACAUAUUUUUCUGUGUUUUCUUUUAGUGAACGGAGGACGUACCAGUGGCCCUGGGACCUUAGGUGGUGGGUCGUUUUCACACUUUCUUUUGCACAGCACCGGGUGGGCUGCAGUGAUUUUCGUUUUGUGUGAUUUUCUUUUGGGUCCACGGCUGCUGGUAAGUCCAAGUUCCAUGAUUGUUUUAUUUUCACGUUAAGACACUGUCAACAAUGACGCUACAUUUUGGUUUCUA